AGCUUCCAGGAGCACACCCUAGGCUCCCACCCCAGCCAGCCAGUGAGCCCUGGGACCUCUGGCUGUGCCACGUGGGAGGUGAGGGUGCAGCUCCUGGACUGGCUGUCCCGGCUGCUAGUUUUAUCCUGGUAAAAUUAUUAUUUCUUAUUUAUUUCUUAUAUAUUUAUAUCUUAUACAUUUAUUAUUUCUCUUUCAUGAUGCAGGGAGCAAGGCAUCGUCUCCCAAAUAAUAUCUUGGGUACCCAUGUUGGAUAUCUCACAGCUUCUGGCAUGGUUACGGGCUGAGCACAAACUCCCAGACCCUCCAGCCUUCCUAUGCCCACCCAAAGGGGUACAGGCAGCUUCUGCCUUUGCUAAACAGGUGGAGAACUAUUGCAGUUUGGGGUGGGGGGUGUGUGGUAAUUGUACUGAUUCAGAAGCAUUUAACAAAUUGAAAUGUCAUUCUGCUCUAUGCCUUUUUAUUUUUUCCUGUUCCAGCUACAAUGUCAAGUAACUAAUGAAUGCAACAUGAUGCGGUAUUAGGUUUAAAGCAGUAUUUUCCUGUUGCUGUUCCUUACAUGUUGGUCACACCCUUAAUGAUCUUCAUAGGAAAUAUUUACUUUGAGGAGUUUGGUUCUAAGUAUGCCAAGUGAUCAAAACCAGGCAAGGCAUGGUUUGCUCUCAUAUGACUUCAGUUUUUCCUGGAAAGAAACGGGAACAAAAUAAAAAUCUUACUUUCAAAAUUAAUGCAAAUCAGCUUGAAAAUCAUCUUUUCCCAAUAAAUGAACACUCUGUUCUUUCUCAGGCAAUCCAAUAUUAACUUUUAUGGGAAUAGAAACUCAAGGAAGAAUAAAUACUGUGGAAAAGUGAGGUCUGUAAUGGUGGUGCUGGUAGUGUCUGGCAAGUGUUAAUGCAUAGUGUACAUACGAGUGUUGUAUAUAUAUCCUUGCAGCUACCAGUUUCGAGCUGUUCUGAAACUGGGAUCUUGAUGCUGAGAAGGGAGAAAUAAACAUCCAUGCAAAGCUUUCUUCUUAGUGCAGUCCCCAGUUUAAUAUCCUCAAGUCUUUUUAAGUAAGCAAAGAUGCAGCAGCCUCAUACAUUGGAUAUUGCUCAAGGUGGAAAAUUGCCCCACUGCUUCUUAUUACUCCUAUUGCCUCACCCAGAUUUGUUACAGACUGAAUUUCAAAGAAAACCAUGCCCACGUGAAGGUAUAUGUGUAAUACAGAUUUACAUUGCUGUGCGAUGUAGCCUCUGUGUGCUGUAGAGACCAAAGGCAUGUGAUUUUGUCAGGCCAAAAAUUUCUACCCAUGGCAAACCCUUGAUGCUGCGUGGCCUGGGGAGUGGGGAUGACUCCUUCAUCACUCUGUCAUCAGUCUGCGGCUAAACAGUGACAGAAAUGCUUGGACAAUUUUUCUGUUACUUUAUUUGGAUGUUUUUCUUUACAAGUCUUGGUUUAUUAUGCCUAGUACCUUGCUAACCCUAAGUCAAACAUGCAAGAGUAGGGAUUGCCGUAAGAAAUCUCUUAGAAACAAUCUACACUGACUUUUUUAUUUUUACACUAAAAAAUGUCAAUGUCAAGGUCUAAUAACUGGCACGAGGAGCGGGGGCCAUGCACAGCUCACAUUACUGACACAGCUCAGCUGGCACCGCUUUCCAGAUCCGCAGGCCUUGCCCAGGUGUCCUGGCACAGGCAGGGAAGGGGUGGCGCAGAGCUGCUCGUCGAAAACCACUAUGGGUCUGGGGGUUUUCCCAAGUGUUUUUUUUUAAACUUUUUUUGGUCCCUAUGCCCAGAUCCCAAGGUCUUUCCUUUGAAGCCCACCUUGCUGUUGCAUACCACACAUGCACAUUUACACAGCCAGGCGCAGCACAGCACCUCUCCUGGCUCACCUGCCAAAAAGAGACACAGAUUUUGGCCAUGUGAGGAAAAACCCUGUCUUUUUUUAUCCUGGAAAUACUGCAUACACUAUUCUGUUUGGGUCAUUGCUCAGCAUCUGUGCAUAAAUGUUCAACAAUUUUUUUUUAAAAAAACAAAGGAAAUCCUUACGCAAAAAUAAAUAAAAAAAAGGCCUGCAUCACUGUGGGCUUAUGUUCAAGAGAAUUGUAUUGGUAAACUAAACUAUAAAGCAUGGAUGUUUUAGUUAUUCCAGCCUAAGAGCUAUGAAUUUGAAACUGCAGAGUUAAGGUUAGACAUGACAAAGUAAGAAACAACUGAGUUGCCAGAAAAUCCUUUGAAUGCUUCGUGGUACUGUCAUCAGCAGGGAAACCACCUUGUGUAUCUUCAGGGUCAUCUUAGCAGCUUUAUGCCAUGCAACUGGAAAGGACCAGAGGGGUGAGAGGGUCGGCACGGCCUCGUGCAGUUUUGGGGUCUCUCGGAGCACCUGGGGUGCUCAGAUCCCAGCUUGCUCCAGCCAUGCAGAUCACAUUGCACCAUGAGGGUGCCACCCCUACUCUUACAGCUAACCUGCAGGCACCAUUAAAAAAGAUGUAAUGUUACUACUUUGUGGUGAUUUUGGAGUAGAGGUCUCAGCCCUUAGAGUUUUCCCACUCUGUCAGCCUGCUCUGUCUUGUGUUUUCUUGUGGGAAUAUUGGAUAAAACUCUUUUGAGCUAAACCUGCAGCACUGCAGCGCCUUUCUUUCCUGUUAGCACAGUCUCCUGUGCUCACACAUUUGUUCCCUACAGAUAUGCCAGGCAGAACUCACAGUCUUGUCCAGACAACUGCCCUAAAGGCAGGCAAGCAUGCCAUGCAUGUGCAUAUACACUUGCAAAGUAUUGUUUACAUCACUUUUUGCAACUUUUUAGGCAGUCAUGGCAGUGGCUUGGCUCUCUGGGGUGGCUGCGCAGAGGGAUGUGUGCGUGUGCCAAAGAAGCGUGGGUACCUCUGGCCUUUCCCAGCCCGUAAAAUAUAUGGGCUAUUGCUUAAAAACCUUUAAUGAUGCUUAAUUAGCUUCUAAAUUCCCAACAUUUAAUUCAGAUGCUAAUGUUUCUUUGCUGUCGUGGUAUCUGGUAACAGGUAAGACAUGGAUUAAUCCCACCUAGGGCUGCUGCAGGUGAUGCUGGGGGUGAGAGGGGAGGGCUCAGAGGAAGCCAGAGGAGCAACCACGGUGCCCUCGCAGGGUGAGGGUGGCCGUUGCCUGUCCUGGGAGGUGAGAACUUGGGUUUUCUCUUGGUGUCCUUGGCACUAUCUCAUUCACCCUCCAGCCUGGUAGGAAAACUCAUUGAACAAGGGGUCGCAGUAUUGACUCUACUUUGGGGAAUGAGCGAGCUUUAAAUGGUACUUCUCGGUUACAACUUACUAUUUGUAUGUUAUUUAUAAAUAAUCAAUAAAGCCAUGCAGUUAAACACGAUAACAGAAAUUGUGUAAGGACAGCAAGCAUUGAGUUUUGGUUUCCACCAGCGUACUGGAACGUGCUUCUCCCAGCAGCUCAUGAAGAACUUUGCUCCUUCUGCCUCCACAGCACAUCAGCUCGACUGAGACAGGUUGAUCUUUGUCUUUGCUGCUGAAUAAUGAGGCAAGGAAUGUGUUCAAGCUGUUGAGUAAACCACCAUCAUCUGUAAGAGAUUUCCCAUCCUUGUGCCUUAAUGGUCAGGACAAGUCUUUAUGGGCUGGUCUUAUGCUUGCUGGGAACAUGUUGAUCUUCAUCUUCGUCUGCUGAGCUGUUUUUUUUAGAAAUUAAGUUGAGUUUCUUUCACUUUUUUAUUUUUAUUUUAUUUGUUACUAAUAAAUUAUUCAUCAGUCUUGUGGCAACUGGAAUUUUAUAUGCAUUUUACCUGUUUACUGAUCCUUGAAUUCCUGUGACGCUAUGUACCAUGUCUUGUUUGUUGCUGGGCUGCAGAGACAGAGGUUCCAGGGAUGCUUUGACAUAUACCAACACGUCAUGUGCCCACUCCAUCACUUUGGACCUGGGAUCAAUUCACAAAACACUCCGGUUUGAUUUUGGGAAUGGUCAGGGCCUUUCCAAAGGGAUGUCUUUCCUCUUAGGGCAGGGGGGCCACAUCUGGGGGAAAUCCACCACCCCAACCUUGCUCAAACUCUCUUCUGCAAUGGUCACUGUCCCCAUCUUGGGGCCUCAGCAUCGCCAAAUUGCUGGGAAACCUUCAGCCAAUGCCUGGGAGCUCUGCAAGCCCUGAAUAACUGCCCUGUCUGUAUUUAUUUUGAAGUACCACACUAGUGGCCCUUCCCAGACAAAAACUUGCUGACGGGAUGGGCCUUCAAUGAGUGGCACCUGCAACAAAUUCCAGCCACGGGUGCAAGAAUCGCUUUGUAGGCUGAAGCUUGGGAAGUAGUUUGAAGAAAUCCCAACCACCUUACAGCUCAGCAGCCCAACGGUUGCUGACGAAAAUACUGACAGCUCUGUUUUAUUUGCAGUCCCUCUCUGAAGCUUCCUGGUUUCUGUUUCAUAUGGAUUAGGGAGUACUCGGCACGCUCUUUUCACCUCCUGCAAUUUUGUUGCUCAGCUACACGCUGCCCGAGUUCGAACCCCGCCCGGGAAUCUGCUGUGUCCCCACUGUCCUGCCUCCCCUUGGGGCUGUCACUACACCAGCUGCCUUCACAUUUGUCUGUCUUAAAUCCCUGCUGUUUGCAAUCUCACAUGAGUUGGCACGGUGCUGGUAUACCACCACCUUCUGGUAGCACCAUGGGCAGCUGUAGCAGGGAGCCGGGCGUGCGGGUGCAGUGGUGCUGGACCAUGCUGCAGCAUCCUCAGGCAGGCGCUGAGGGUGGCAUGAGCACCCUCCUCUUGGGUCUGUGUCUGAGUGAGCUUCCAAGCUCUGCCCUGCCUUUCUUAACCUUUAUGGCCCUAAAUUCAUCUUUUAGUGAGUUUUCUGCCAUUGACUUCAUAGCAUCACAGCCUGGUUUGGGCUGGGAGGGAGCUGACAGCCCCCCGAGCCCCAACCCCCGCCAGGGGCAGGGACACCUCCCACCAGCCCAGGUUGCCCCCAGCCCCGUCCAGCCUGGCCCUGAGCACCCCCAGGGAUGGGGCACCCACAGCUGCUCUGGGCAGCCUCUGCCAGCGCCGCCCUCACAGGGAAGAAUUUCUUCCUAAUAUCUGAUCUAAAUCUAAAAUUUACCUGGCUUCUUUACUUGCUUUUCCCUGGGUGGAGACGUCCACUAUUUCUCUGUGCUGUGUGGAGCUUUUCAAGAGAUCCCUAUGCUAUUUGCAAAAUAGUGUGCAGUUUAAUUUUAUUAGAUUGUCGAUAAACCAGCAGGGCUUAAUUACACACCAAAAUUAUCUAGACUUGAAAGCAUGGCGAUCACUCCCUUGUUCUCCUGAGCUGUAACUUAAUGCAAAACCCUCUGUCGUUCUCCAUUUUCUAGUUCUUUCAUUCAUUCCUGCUGAGUAAUUAAAAAUGGCUUAUAAAUAAACACUGGGAAUGAUUUCCGAAAUGUUCUGUAUUUACUUGCAAGGCUGGUACUUCUGUCAUUGGCCCACUUAAAUGAUUUUGAAAGAUUGUAUACAGGUUCCUUUUACAAUGUAUUUGAAGUUUGUAAUCCUGCUUAAAUACACAAAAAUAGGAAGGAUUAACAAACUGCCACACUGAGGCCAAAAGAAGACAGAGCUAAAAGCAAUCAAGGAGCAGCCUAUCAGAUAUGUGAAAUAAAUUGGGGGAAAAGUGGAAAACUGUCAACAAAAAUAAUAUGUUAUGGAUCCUCAAGCCUUUGUGUUUAUGCUAGAGGAAGCCUAAAAUAAUCUGUGGUUUCUGAUGCUUGAUUUAGUUUUCCACAAGCCUAAUUAACACCAGAUUAAGUUUGCUGCCACUAUAGUUUAUUGCUGAGACUGACAAAUACUUGCUGUUUAUUUGUUUUCUAAAAAAAUGACUGGAGGCAAUAACAGUAUGACACAGUUAAUAAGUUUGAAAACAAUGCUAUAAAAUUCAUUUUUAUAAACUUAGUCUUUAGGAAAAAUCCCCGUGACUUUCCGUAUUAAAUUCUGACCCUACAGUCCUUGGGAAGGAAAAAAUCCCACUGAUUGAAUGUCCCACUGAUUUAAGAUACAGCCCUGUGAGUUAAGCUAAAAAUUAAGCAUGUGCCUCAGUGCUUUGCUGAACAGAGAUGGACUAUACUAUAUAUUUCGAUAAUUCACAUGCUCAGGGGCUUGGCCAGGUGUGGGCCAGCGGUCUGCAGGAUGGAGCUGCACAAAGCAAAGACUUACAGACAGAAAAUCCAACACCAUGUGCAUCAACCCGCAAUAUGGGUGUUUCCUAUGAAAAACAUCCUGGAGUGGCAUCAGCCAUUAUAUGACUCUGUCACUAUGUGACUCGCUCACUAUGGAUGUCACAACAUCAGGAUUGAACCCGAUUCCCAGAAAUCCGGGAAUACCUGCUACGACCUCGGUGAAAUCCCAAAUCUGCAAUCAUUUGUUUAUGCAGACGGCUUUGCUCAUGCAGAAUGACCCACUAAAGUCACCGGGAUUUCUGAUGCAAGUAAAAUUCCUUGCACGGUGUAUGCGUGCAUCAGAACACCUUGCCAUGUCAGAGCCGAGGGCGAGCUCCGCAGGCUGCAGAUACGGGCUACUUAUGCCAAAAGUUGGCAAAAAAACUUUCCAUCCCAUCUUCUCAUGAUUAUCCUUGGAAACACAUACUCUAUCCAGUGGCUUCAUUGUGACUCCUUCUGGACACGAGCCAAGCCAAAAGACAGAGAGGCUGGCAAAAACAGAUCUGAAAAAGUUACCCAAGUCCUUGGAAACCUCAUAGCAAGUCUGAACUGGGCAUAGAUCAAAAUCUGGGCAGGAAGGUGGGGUCUUACAGGGCAGGUCUCCUUGAUCCGCAUUUUUUGUUCAUGACAGGUCAGCAGAGCUAGAAUAUUUCACAAAAAUAUAGAAGCAAAGAGCCAGCUCAUACUUUUUCUUUCUCUCUCCAGCAUUGUGGAAGAAAGCUAUUACAGACACGCUGGUGCUCAGGUCUGGGAUGUACACCUCUGCCACCUUGGGUAGGUCACUCCACCUCUCCGUGCCCCAUUUCUUCAUUGAAAACAGGUGGACAAACCUUCUGUGGUGUGGGGUAGUCAAAUCCAUGCCUGGGAUGUGCUCUGUUUUUCCAGUAAUCAUGUAACAAAUAUGAGCUCUUUCUCCUGCUGAACACAUUUUAUUAAGUUCCCCGCUGUGUGGUGUUACCUGACCUGGCUCAAGGAGUUGUCUUUGUUCUCUCCAUGCUGAUGGAGAAAUACAGUGCUGGUGUCCCAUGUCCUCACCACAUCUGUUCUCAACAUGAGCCUUGUCCUGGAACCAGGAGGGUGGCAGUGCUCGGGUUUUGCCUUGUGGGAGGCCAGCGCUACAUGACACCGGCCACAAACCCUGUGAGCUCCUUACCCCAGAAAACCCAUCUGAAACCUGAUCUUCUGUAUGUGAUAUCCACGUUGACAAAAGAAACACCAAGCAAGCAGAUAAACAAAUCCGGUUUCCCCUGUGCAGGCUUCACCUGUUGUACAGUAGCUCCCUGGCAUCGUCUCCAUCUUUCUUGUUUGCCUUUGCACCUUUGAGAAAGUCCAAUUAGUGUUUUCGUACUUUUUUUUUUUUUCCCCUGAAGCACUGCUGUCAUGCUGAGGAAAUCAUGCAUUCACCAAAACAACAAAGCAGCUCACACCCAAAUUGCAGAUAAAAAAAAAAAAAAAAAGGUGUGGUUUUCUAUUUUUCAUUUUUCCAUUUUUCAAUUUAAGUUUCUAUGAAAUAAGCCUUAGGAUGCUUCUCCUGAAGCUACAGCACAUGGAAGCCAGUGACCAUAUGCCAUCACCUCUUGCUAAGACAAACCCACUCAGAAAUGAGUACCCAGUAUGGGGGUAAGGAGGCAAGUGGGGAGGAACAGGGAACCCUAAGGAGGGAGAAACGAAUGGCAGGUUGGCAGACCUCAGGCACUGGGCUUCAUUUCAAGCCUCCCUGGGGAUAGUGAGCUUCAGGUCCCAGUUGGUGGUACCCUGCCAGGAGCCCUGAUGUUUCCUGGGGGCUGCACUGUGCUCCUGACAGACCCUCAGCCUCUAAAGAAGUCAUCCAGGUUGAGGGAACUGAUUGUAUCUGUAUGGCUAAAAUACUAAAAUGUGAGCAUAGAUGGGGAUGAACAGGUCAGGCAAAUAUACCCAUUUUCACUGCAAGUCAGAGCCAACAUAGUCACUGAGUUUUCACCCUUGUGCCUUCAUUUCCCCGCAAAGCAAAGGCCAAAAUACUCUUGUCUUCGUGCUGACCUGAACCCAGGCUAUUUUUGCAAAGGCCGAACAGAUAACGUUACUGUGUCAUGAUACAGCCAGCAGCUCAGCUGGGAGAUAAAGAGAAAGUCAUAAUCCAGCACAAAUGUCUGAUAAAAAGGGGCAAAUGUCAGGAUUUAGUGGCUUUCCUCUCUCCUCUGCUCUGUAUGAUAAAUCACGGAUGGCAGCAGCUCACCAGACUGUGAUGCUGGCUGAGAGAAACCCACCCACCAAGGGACAGUUCACACCUCUCUUCCUGGCCACGAGAAAUUGAGAUGAUGCCUCUGAGCAUCCUGCAUCUAGAUGCUCAAGGACCCACGGUCCCACCUGCAAAAUGCCGGUUGAGCCUAUCUUAAAGCUAGUGUUGUUGUCUGAAAUUCAGCUUUUAAAAUAUUUCUUUUGCUACAGAUAUUGCAGCUCCCUACUCCAAAUUGCUCUGCAAAGCCCUGAUUCAGACCCAUGUCAGGGGCAGCCCCAGGCUCACUCCAAAGCCACCAUCCUGCCACCAGCCACCCUGAACAGAAAAGGACAGGGCUUGAAGGAUCUGUACUGAAAUGGAAGAAAAAUACUAAAGAUUUCUUUUCUUCUAACAUCCAAUUAACGUCAGGCUAAAAACCUCACUGAAAAAGUGAUCACUUUAUUUAAGGUGUACUUAGGGAACAGCUAUUACAGCACUGCAGUUUAUCAUACCCUGUAAUAUUGUUAAUUUUGCUAUGAAGUGAAUAAGGGAGGCUUGGGCUGUAGAGCCAUUUGGAUUUAAUAAUACACUUCCAUCCUUCUUAGCCCUGAUUUCUCAACUAACUGUGCAAGGAUUUAUCGUUUGCUAACUGUAAGUGAAUUACUACAGGGUAACACAAUCCUGAGCUGAAGGCAGAGGAGGGAUGAUGUCUUUCAUAUGGCUGGGGAGACCCACAAUGGGCUGGGGCUGCAUCUGCAGGUGGCUCCUGAGGCAGGGGACACCAUUUCCUCCAAGGCAAGGGAAAAAGACAUGAGAAGCCCUUUCUAGGCAUUUAAUACAGUGCAAAAUGCAAGUGUAACUUAAAUUUAAAAAGUUAUUAUUUUGAAAUGUCUUUCAGAGAGAAAAUGCCUGAUGUCCUGAGCGGAUGGCUCUGCAGGGCUUUUUUCUUGAAUAUAUUUUCUAACAGUGCAGUACACGCUGAGUUACUCUGCUCUUUACCCUCCCUCUCAGCUCCUAAGCCGCACUCCAUGGCUUGCUCGUCAUGUAACAGCAGUUGCCCCCCUUUCCAGAUGCUGCAUCACGCAAGGGAACAGAACCACAGUCUCCUCCUGCUGCUUCUUCCGUAGGGAGCUGCAGGGCCGGGGCGGUGCUGCCGCUGCUGAGGACCGCAGGGUACAAGCAGGACCCAAGCCUCACCGAAGCACCACGUUUUGAAAACCCACGCUCCUGUAGCUGCCUCUGCUAAAUAUUUCAGUCGCGUUUAUUCAUCAGCUUCAGAAGAAAUGAGUGGCUGAGCCAUAGAACAGAAUUAGAGGGUGUUUCCCUGGGCUUUGGAUGAAUGCCUGUGUUUUAAACCUCCUUGCCAUCUGCCAUGGAGGACAGGGCUGCUCGGGGCAGGGGUCAGUCCCUGCUGGUGUUGGAGGGGCAUUUGGUUUGAGGGGACGGCAUGUGGGCACUGGCUGGUGCAGUCUUGUUGCUUUCCUGGGCCAUCACUGGCAAUCUGAAGCACUUAGCAUCCCUGCCUGCUCCCCAGGGCAGAGUAGGAAGAGGUGUCAUGUUUGAACUGUGGGCAGGUACCUCCUCGGGCUGCCCUGUCCUCCUUCCUCACCUGGUGUCUGCAUUAUUUCUGGACGACUGCCUCCCUGCUAUCACUUCAUCAGCUGCACAGCUGCAGCCCCAGGAAAGCCUCCCCUCUCCUUCCCUCCCCUCCCUGCCGUCCUGCGCACACCGCCGCCGCUCAGCGGGCCUUGCGGACUAGGGAUGGCUUAAACCCUGUUUUGAAGCAGGCAGAGGAGCAGGGAGGGUAAUGGGUGUUCUCGGGCUUGGCUGGGAUAGAGCCCGGCAGGGAGAGAAAUCACCCUGCCGAUCUGUUAGCUAUAUUUAAUAUACAUCAGCGGGACCACAGCGGGAAGGCAGCUGUGGAAAGUGCUCUGCCUUCCUGCAGCCCCUGCACCAGCUCUGCAGCCACCCUCCCCCUGCGCUGCUUCGGCUUUGUCUCCCUGCCAGGCAAAGCAAAGCCCAGAGAAGCCCGACCUCGUCUUUUCCCACCUGAGGCUCUGGCAUGGAACUACAGAUUAGUGACUCUUCUUUUUUCUCCCAUAUUUUCUGAAAACAGCCACUGAGAUGUGACCUGAUGCCGGGGUCCCAACUGUGUCUGUUACUUCCAGGCGUAAGUCAGCCAGCCGGGUGGCGGCUGUGAGCUCAGCAAGGUUACUCGCUGCUGUGCACCAUGCCGGUGCUGCUGCCUCCUCAGCCUGACCAAAACUUAGAAAUGGAGCGGGUAAUUGAUGGCAUUUUGGAGCUCACAUGUCCAGGUGGCUCAUGAGCUUCCUGGGGUUCCUGAGCUGUUUCACAGCCCCCGGGACUCUCCAGGUUCUCACAAGUAAUAAUUUACACCCAGGAACCGUGAAGCACAGAACUGAAAUGUCUCCUUUGCUUCGGUGCAAACCUCUGUGAAUCGGUACUUUUUCUUCCCUUUACUCCUUUCCCCAUUUCCCCCAGUCCCCUCUUCUGCUGCUGCUGCAGAGCUCGGCGUGCUCUCCCUCAGGGGGCACGUGGCAGAUGAUCCACUGUUUUGGGUCCAUCCACAAGGGACAUUCAGCCCCCGAGUCAGCAGAGAGGUCCUUCGGAGCACGGUGCCCGGCAGCCCCGCGGCAGUGGGCUGCAGCCCCAUGUCUCCGAGCACCCACUCCCACCUCGGGGAGACAGUGGUGGCUGCGGCUGAGGCCAGGCUGUGCACCCUGGCUGCUCCACGGCACCUGCAAAGCUCACCCCACGCAGGUGGCUGGCACCAGGGCUUUGCCACGGGGUGGCUUUAAGGCAAAGGAGAUUUGGCAGCUAUUCAGCUAAAGCGAAAUCCAGGUCAAAGUCGCUUGCUUCUGCUAAUCCUUCUCUGUCAUAUCGAGGGAUCACACAUUGGGAGAGCAGGACUGAGAUUUUUGUGAGCACCAGGAGGUCAGCUACACCUCGGAUAAAAAUUGUGUGUUGCGGAGCGACACAUUUUAUGGGACAACAUCACACAGAGACCCCCUCAUGCAGAUCUUCCAACCUAAUGUCACUUGUCCCCUGCCAUCCAUUGUACAAAACGAUCUUUCUGCUCAAACUUUCUCUGCUAAUUGCCAUGGAAAUUUGAUAAUUUCAUCCUAAAGGAGAGUUGAGGAAAACUCAGGAAGAGCUCCGAUUACUGAAAACUGGAAAAAAUUAAUCUUGAUUAAAGCACUUCCCCCAGGAAAAUAAGGACCUCCUGAACUUUGCAGAGAGCUGAUUGCUCGGAAGCUGUUCUUCAGGCAAUGUUGAACUGUACUUCUGCCAGGUUUUCCUGCAACAUUAUAAUAAAAGAAUCUCACCAUCACAAGGCAGAAGAAAAAAUGUCUUUAGAGGUGUAAUUUAGUGGGCUAUUGGCAAGACCUUGCUUCAGUUCCCUCCUAAGGGAAAGUGCCAAAAUAGGCAUAUUACCCUCCAAAUGCAUAAUGGCUGUAAAAAUGCCUGUCAGCUGUCAGCGCCCAUGGAGCUUCUCAGAUGGAAAAACAGGACUUGAGCAUCAAAGAUUUUUUGCCAGCACCAAAAGAAGGAGCAAAAGAGAAAAUGGAUUCUUGAUUUGGCAUUUUUAAGAUGAGGAGGCAGAAGUCCUUUUCAAAAGAUCAAAGUAGUGUGGAUUUCUGUGUUUUCUGGCAGGUCGAUUCCCUCUAAGGUAAAAGAGGAUUAGGAAAGGAAGUGCUACAAGUCUGCUGCACAGCAUUGAAGCCCACCUGGAGUUUGUAUUUAAAACAAAAUUGUUUAGUUUAGGUUUGUUAUUUUAAUUUCAUUUAAUUCCAUUUCAUUUUACUUUAGUAUUUUAUUUUAUUAAUUUCACUUAAUUACUUACUUCAAUUAAGUAUUCUUCAUAUUUCCUUUGAGGCAUACAUUUGCCUAGCACUUUACCGAGUACUUGUGGUGGUGGCUUUUCCCCGGCACACGCAGCAUCCCGGCGGUGUCCAAACCUUUACACCUCGGACACGGAUCCGGUGGAGCGUGCCCGUGUGUUUUUACCCUUGCCUAUCUUGUUCCCGCCCACUCUCAAACUUGGCGCUACAGAUGCUUACAAUUAUCUGCAGAUGCAGAAUGCGAAUGCAGAUUUUUGGUUACAAUUUGUACCCCCUAAAAUUGUCCUUUUGAAGACCUGUCUCCAAAUUUCUCCAGGCUUUCAACACUCUAUUUAUUUAGCAAUUGACUCGCCCCGUAAGAGAGCAAACAUCACCCUUGCUCCCAGCCCCUCUCAGCAAAGAAGAUUUAUUGCAUUAUUAUGCAGAAAUGUGCUAGAUUUGCUGGGAGGGAGAGGAUGUGCCUGGCUGCAGCAACCUCAAGGUCAGUUUGCCCUUGGAUUAGGGAUGGACCUGCCCUGGUCCUCCCAACCUGCAGAGAGGACCUGAGGACGCAGCAGAGCAGUAGCUGCUUUUCUCAGCUAGCAUAGGGAACUCUCCCAAGCCAGGGUGGUUAAACCAGCAAAUUAUUCCACCUCUUUGGGAGCUAUUUCUGCAGGGAGCCUCACGCUGUUGUGUGGUCGCUUCCAUGUGGAUUUUGCUGCAAGACUCCAUUGCUUCUCCUCCUUCCAGCUGCUUUGGAGACCAGGACAAAACGAUGGAGAAGAGCACGUACAAGCAACAGGAGCCCAUUUCCAUAGCUGAAACUGGUACUGGAAGUGAGCAUCCAUGCAAAACCCAGCACCCCACGUGCUCCAGAGCCCUGCUGGACUGGUGAUGGGGUUCAUUUUGGUCUAUUCUGAGUGGGAUGCAAAUCUUAUUGCCAGGUCAUGGUCUGCCAUUGCUUCACAGGAGACGUGCUUGCAUGCUGCUGCUCAGCAGAGCCCCACAUUUCUCAAGAAUGUGUUACAGCUUAUGGUAUGGAUCUUCACAGCACAACCCCGCUUUCAGCUGCAGGGGCUUGCGAAGGGUUUGAAAAAUCCUGCGUGCUGCCUCUGAUGUGGAUGAAGCACCAGCAGAAAACCACACAAAGCUCCCAAUGAAACAAUCCUGUCAGCCAGGGCUGCUCAGAUGGUGUCAAAUCGCUGCUGCAGAAAAGGGAAAUAACUGAAAAGGUGAAGAUUUGGUCCAAGUAGGUGCACAUCCAGAGUGGGAAACUCUAUACGAGGUCUUGGCAGCACCAGCUUGAGCUCGUGGCAGCCCUUCCUCCAGAGACGUAGUGCAAUGACCUAGCUGCUAUUAAACAGGCCUUCGAAAGACAAGACAAACCCCAGCUCCUGCCUACCCCAGGUGGUCCCUGUGAUCCAACUCAUUCUUCACCUCUGCAGCUUGCAUUCCUCUGGGUUGGGCUGGUUUGCCAUGGGACCAUUUGUGGUGGAGGAACAGAGAGAAACCUGCAGCUCCCCGGGGCUCACCACGAGCAGAGCACAACCUCCUUUAGGACUGCUGGCAGGAUUUCUGGUGGAUGGCUGAGUGGCACCACUCACCCUGGGCUACUUCAGUCCAAGUCCAAGCUGCCUUCAGUCAUAUUUUCCAGUUGUGCCACAAGAAAGGGAACAGGGACCCCAGGGUGAUGGGGAACUGAGGAAUGCCAGGAACUGGGAUCAGCUUUAGUUUAAAUGUGAUGUUCAUACUCACCAAAACUGGUCGUAAAACAUGAAAAGCUGGAACUGCCAACCUUUCCUGCCUCAUCAGACCUCAGUCUCAAGCUGCUGGAGAGCAAGUAGAAACAAAACCAUGCUUCAACUGUUACUUUACCCCCAAGGAGUUGCCAUUUUCUUGUCAACCACAAAAUAUUUGCACUUUAAAAGUUGUGCCCUGAUUCAGCUGGGAUCCAUCCUCUGCCCUGGCCAUCAGGGCAGGACCAGUUCCCCAUCCGAAAACCUUCCUCGCUCCCAGCCCAAUGGAGGCUUUGUCACACUCCUAGCUCAUCACUAAACAAAGCAAUGAAAAUAGAAGGAAAGCAGAAAUCCACGGCCCACCUGAUCGAGACCCAUGCCCAAGAUGCAGAGCCAUCAGAGGAUCCUCACAGAUUCCCUUACCCCAGGGUGCACUUGGUGCCAUGAGUGUGUAUUUUCCUUUGUGUAACAUUUUGCUGAGAUACCUGAAGUGGGUGCCAUCAGGCUGGAUCGCCACUAAACUGGGAUGCGUAGAUGUGUGUUUGUGCCUACUUCUGUACCGGGACAAGGUAAGCAUUAGCUAAAGACCCCAUGCGCCAAAAUGCAAUAACUGGAGAAUAAUUUCCUGCAGCAUCAGGUCUUCUUGCAUGAGGUUUGAUAUAUCUAAGAGCAGUUUUUUACCUUUUUUUACCAUGCUGUUGGACAAGGUGGGGCUAAAACAGCAUGGGUGAAGGGGACAUGCCUGCAUGGGAAGGCUGGGACCUUCUGCACCCCCUCAGCAGGAGCUCUGUGUCUCCCUUUCACCUAUCUCUUUCAACACAUUUCCCCUCAGAUACUGCAAAUCACAAACAUCGUCAAGUCCAUCCUCUCCUCAUGUCCAUGACAUUGCUUAUGGUCCACACUAUGGUCCUCAGUGGUGGCUCAAGGUGUCCCACCCUUCUGGGCAGCCCUCCUUUCCACCCACAUCCCACUGCACCCCAGAAGGAUGUCGCCGAGGGGCCGGUGCUUCAGCCACAGCCGCUUCCCCUGGACUUCAUUAUAUCAUUGACAGCAGUCAAUAUCUCCCUGCCUAGGAAUGUAUUUACUUAUAGGCACAUAAGUAAUUCAUUUAUAAAAUUGAAUUAUCUGACUAGGGAGAUUGUGUGUUUUGAUUGUGUAGCAGUACUUCUGAAACCGACUUAAAAUUGAUAAAAGCCAGAUGGGAAGCGGAAACAGUCCAUUUCAUGACUCUUUAAACGUUUAAGUUGGUUAACCCUUGUACUGCACAAUUUUUGAAGUUGGGGUGUAGUGUGGAAGCAAUUUGUUGGUGCGUUCUCAGGAUGCAAAGUGGGCUGUAAGUGCCGAGGGGGAAAAAGAAGUCUCUGCAAGGACUCUGAGUAGGAAAAAACACAAGAGUGAUGUUUCAGCUGGGGAGCUGUUACAGCUAGAAGAAUUUUGAAGAGAAGGGGGACAAAUCCUGACAAAAGGGUGUUUGGGUCCAGGGAAGGUUCUCGAGGGUGUGAGAUGAGCAGUAAAUCACCGGGGCAGCCCUGGCCAGGGCUCACACGGGAAUGGCAAAGCCCAGCCCGACCCUCCUGGCUCUGCUGCAGCUCCCUGGGGUGUUACAGACACCCAGGAGGUGGCACGGAAAUCACGUCGCCGAGAAGCCGACCAGAAACACGAGUGAAGUCAGCCCAUCUGCAUCCUUCUGCAUGCGAAUGGACAGCAGAGCUGUGAACAGGAGUUUAUUUUGCUUUAAUUAUGUUUCAGUCAUCAGAGAAGUGAGGAAGAGAGAAGGCACGUGAGGAAUAUCCUCCAGGGCUGCUUGCUUGCGGGGCAGCACGAGUCCAGCACCUCUGGUUUGUGCUGUGAAGUCUCACCAGUGCAUACAAAUGGAGCAAAUCCACAAACUCCUUUUAUUUCCCUGUUCUAUCCUUUUUAUUGUGGUUUUUUUUUUUUUAAAUAUUCUAUUCCCGUUUGCUGUCAGAGAGUGUUCCCCCGUGGUAGGCUGGAUGCUGCCAUGGGCUGGUGCAUAGACUGUGUAUGGCAUAAAAUCCCACCUCGGCCAAGCAGGACUCAGCCCUAAAUCCAAACCUUUCCAAAAUAUCUAGCGAUACAAUUAAAAACCUGCCUCAAAUUCCCUAAUAAUUAAGGAAGAACAUGACAUGACUGGACCAUCUUUUAUAUCCGCAGCUGAAGGGCAGGAGGCGGAUGCCGGGACACAUCUGCAUCGAAUCCCCACGCCAUCUCUGUUAGCAAUAACCUCCGCAGGUGCUGGGGGUUGUGUUGUCUUCGCUGCUCACUGCAUCACCAUAUACAUGCCAGAUCUCUUCCCUCCGUGAGAAGCCUCUUAAAUUAAAUUGCCUUUAAUUGGUUUACAGUUCUGCUUCUGCUGCGUUCGCAUAUUGGAAAAUCGAAAGCUCUCCAGACCGAAAUACUUUACGAUCUCGGUUUCCAUUUCGCUAAUAUUUUCCAAGCUGGUUUCCUGUUUUCCUGUUGCCAAAAACACACAUCGGCAAAGAGUAAAAUAAUUCACAUACCAAGUAUUUGAAACAAUUGUUCCUGCCCAGAAAUUAGUGAAAACCUGAUACUUUUUUUAUCAGCAGACCCCACUGUGAUCCUUGCUCUCCUAGCAGAUGGAUUUUUAUCACCGUUUAUUGGCGCAGGAGGAAGCCUGAUGCUCAUGUGCCUUCCCGGGUUUUGGGUCCAUAACUGGAAUACCAGGGUCUGCUUCACUUUGUGAAAUAAAAUUUUUCAGAUCCCAGCAGAAGUGGGUGUUCUGUUCUCAUCAGUUCAAAAAUAUUUCGUUGUAGGGCAAAAAUAACAGGGAAGCUGUCAAAGGGCAGGCAAAGGGCUCUGGGACUGGAAAAUUUUGCCCUGUCUAGAGUUACUGCUUUCAGGGCUCAAUUCAGGAGAAAAAAAUUGUGGUAUUGUGAAAGGCCAUGAAAGGAAAAACCUUUUUACUGGGGCACAAAGCCAAGGCAACUUAGCAGGCUCUGCAUCUUGCACAUCCUGACAUUUUCUAUGUACUUAAGCUAUUAAGCUGCCUGUGCCCCGACCGUUCCUUCCCUGCAGCUCCGAAGAUGCAAAUGUGGGAGUUAAGAGCUUGAAGUUUUGAAGAGCUGAUGAUUAAAAUCUAGAGGAAAUCUUGCAAUAGCCCCGUUGGGAUUUUUUCCUGCAGCGUGAACCCUGGGGAGAUGCUGGUGGAGCGUCCCUGGCUGGCGCAGGCUGCCAGGACAAGUGGCUCGUGGAGUGUUGAGUACUUGGUAAAUAAACCAUAACUUAAAUUCCUACAAAUCAGCUGCUCUGUGUCAGGGAUUUGACAAAUGGAAACAUUUUCUAUUAGUUUAAUUUUUUAAAAAAAUAUGGGAAAAAAGGUAAAUUAUUUAUGUUUCCUCGGGAGUGGCUAUUUUUGUGAAACAUUAACUGGUUUUUGAAGGAAAACACAAAAAAGGGAGCGGGGGAAUUUUGCCAGGACAUGGAAAUACUGUAUUUUUUCAUUUUAUUCUUGGGGCUGAGCACUUUGGAGAAGGCAGAGGUAGAUUCCCAUCUCCUGCCCCUGACCGCAGCCCUGCCUGCCCUGCCCCUCGGUGCGGGGAGUUGGAUCGACAAAGAAAACAAAAAAGAGGAAACUAUAUGUCGGGAAACCCACGUGCCUCGUAUCGCCUUUCUCUGCGCAGCUCCAGUCGGUUUGGACAUGGGUUGCAGUGGGUGAAGCAAGCUUUCCCAGGGCAGCAGGAGAACUGGCUAUAGCAUAAGGAAAAGAAAAGAAAAGAAAAGAAAUGCAUUAAAUUAAAAAAAUCAAGAAGCAAGUGAUGGCGUUUGCUGGUCAGUGGCCACCUCUGACAGAGCCUCAACAUGUAAUAUUAGGGUAGGUGACUGAUUUGGGACAAAUAUAACCCAAAACUGAUGCCACUUCACCUCCUCCAGCCUACUGCAAUAAUCAAUACGGCUUUAGAGGAAAAGGCAGGCAAAAUCCAGGUUGGUCCUACGGGGGUUUCAUGGUAAUUUUUGUUUGACUGAUUAAAUUUAAUGGAGUUAACUCUAAUUUACACGAGCAAACCUGGAAUCAGUAAGAAAAAGACAUAAAAUAAGGAUGGGGAGAGGGAGAAAAUAUAUACUUUCAAUUAAUCAUAUAAUUUAAAUGAAUAAAUUUAAAUAAUUUUAAAUAGAAAGAGAAGAACUGGCCUAAAAGGUCCACAACAUGAAUGUACUUUUAGGAAAAAUCUGGGCAAUAAUGAUCACCAUUUUUAUCGCUUGAAGCUCCAAGCACUUACUGUUAAUAUAAUUUGAUGAAUGAGGAUAUUGCAGUUUAACAUGAAAAACAAUAAAAGUUGCUGAUGUUUAAAAAAAGAACAGGCAAUUAACCCCCAAACAUUUCACUGAAUUUUGACUGAAGGAAUGAGGGAGGAGGAGGAGGGGGAAGAAUGAGCCACCCACUCCCAGCCGCAUCCCAGCUCCCCUGGCCGGCUGCAGCUCAGGCCGACCCUCCACCACCGGCCCCACGUUCCCUCCCUUUGUUUUCUAUUAAACCGAAUAGUGUAGAUGGUACCGAUGUGAAAGAAUGUCUUGGAGUAUUUCAGCGUACAGCAGAAGCCGCUGUACAAACCCGGCCCUGAGAGCUGAGAGCAGCCGCGCCGCAGCCAGCAUUGCCGUGGUUGCUGUGCCUGAACUCACCCUCCCGUUACCGUCAUUCUUUUAACGCACCUCCCUCCCUCUGCUUGCAAAAGUACUAAAUCACUCGCUUUGGGAAUUAAAUCAGAACUAUUUUCUUUUCCCUGUGAUUUUCUAUUGCGUGGCGUAAAAUACAUGAUUUAAGAGCAGUAUCUUACUGAUUGGUUUAGAUAAUGUGAUUUAAAUAAUAACUGGUGUUAAAUAUACCUAGGUAGUCACCAACUCUUAGAGGUAAACCUUUCACCUUCAUGCUUCAGGAAUGCAAUUUAUUUUUCUAUAUUUUCCAGUAAAACUAUUCAGCGCAGAAACUGCAAAGAAGCGAGCCCAGCCCCAGGUCUGUCCCUGCCACCCGUCACCACGAGAGCUUCCCUUCCUCUGCACAACCACAUCGGCACAGCCGCCUCCUCCUCACUCCGUGCCAGCGAUGGCAAUGGCACUGCUGAGAUGAUCUUGUUUAAAUUUAAAGCUUGCAGGUCUACUUAUUAAGGCACUUUGUCUCAGGCAUAUGAAAUAAUUUCUAUAUGCGAGGGGGGGGAAGAGAGAGAAAAUUAAUUUCCUUCACCCUGCUCGAAUUUCAGAGGAAAUUCCAUGUUAUCACUCUGGAGAGCACCCGCAAAAGAAAACAGGGAGAAAGAAAUCUUUUUUUUCUGAUCAUAAAAAUAACCCAACUGAGGUGCUGCUUCCACUCGGCUCAGCAGGAUGGGCUGCACAUGCGGUCUUGGGGAUUCAUAGAAAAAUAGCGUUCACCAGCCAACAGCAACCAGCGUGGGUUGUAUCACCAUCCACCACGCUGCCCCUCCGGCCCUGCUCGCCUGCGCCGGGGAGCGCUCACGUUAAACCUCACGAGCAACGAGCAUCACGGAACACAGACCGAGUCUCAGAUGCAGCAAAACGUGUGAGAUGCUGCAGGGAAGCUGCUCUCCCGCAGGACUGGGAGGUAAAGAAAAGCACGGUCUUGCCUCAAGAUGGCAGGCAGGAGACUUGGAUCCCAGCGGUGAUGUUUUAUGAGGUGUGUGAUAAAAAACUCGACUGUCCCAAAAUGUGCGUGGUGCUGGCACCACCCUACAGCCUUGUGUUAGCACCCCCAAACCCCUGAGCCAGCAUCCCUGAAACCCAUGAGCUAGCAUCCCCCAAACCCUGGUGUUAACAUCCCCGAACACCCAUGCCAGCACCCCCAAACUCCAGUGUUAGCACCCCCACAACCUGAUGAUAUCACCCCUAAAGCCCCGUGUCAGCACUCCCAAACCCUGCUGUUAGCACCCCCUAAUCCCAGUGUCAGCACCCCCAAACUCCAGUGUAACCACCCCCAAGCCCUGGUGUCAGCACCCCCACACCCCAAUGUUAGCAGGCCCCUAACCCCAGUGCCCAGCAGCCCCACCCCAGCACCAGUACGCCCACCCCAGCGCCAGCACCCCCAGCCCCACGCCAGCCCCCCAGCAGCCCGGAGCGGUGCUGCCAGCCAGCUGUCACCAGCCCUGGCACCCACUGCCACCCCCAGCAGCGUUACGGAGCGGGAUGGCAAGGGGCGAGCUGGAAGGACAGAGCUUGCAGAGAAGAUGUGCUGGAGGCAGGAGUGUCCGAGGGGAUCUUGGGCAUUGCCGACCCAUGGUUGUAUGGACACGUGGAGCCGCUUCUGCCGCUGCUUCUCAUUAGAGAUGGAAAAAGCCAUUACAGCAGCAGGGGUGCAUGUCCCAGGGACAGCUGGCGGGCGGCUGCAGCCAUCGGGCAUUCCAGCGGCUGCACCAUGCCCCUGCUUUUUGUUCCCCACUCUGCAUGGGCGGCAAAUAAAUGGCAGCAGCAGCCUGUGCUUUUUGAGGGGGUCUCAUUCAGCCCCACAACAAAACCGGAGCUUCGACUGCGGUGCAGACAACAGAAAUGGCACACAAGGACCUGGCAUGGGUGAAACACCCGUGGGCAAGAGGCGGAAUCCAUACGGCACACACCCCCCGGCGCAGGGGGAUGGCAACAGCCUGGCUCUGUCCUCUCUGGGUGGCAGAGAGCAAUGCUGACUGGCGCUGGAAGCCCCGAGACUGGCUGGCAAUGAGCUUUACAUCAAAAAUAAAAAUUACCUCAAUGAAGCAACGAGCUUAUUUAGUGGAGUAGUAUUCAAGGUUGAAUUCCUGGUUAGAAAGAUUACUAAGAAUUAAAAUACAGGGAUUUCAGCUUAAAUGCGAGCAAAUCUCUUCCCACUGACCUGCCUGCCACCUCCCCUCCCCAGAAUAUUAUUUCUGCAGGAAAAUAACUAAGAAGAAUGAUGUUGAGUCAUUCAGACUGCUUACUUUUGACCAUGCACAAAUUGCUUUUGCUUCAGUCUAACCAUAUAUACUUCUAAUUUUUAUUAUCAGAAAAGCUGGUGUCCACCCCAGUGUGCCUGGCCAAGAGCCACCGGCUCGGGGACGCUCGGCGCAGCGCUCAGCUCCAGCACGGCUUCCCCCCGAGCUUCUGCUCCUGCAAUACCGCCCGCUGUAAGGUGGUGGCAUGUGGACGGGUGCACAGCGCUUUACAUCAGCAUUGUAGCAUUUUUCUGUGUUUCCAUAGUUUUGUUUAUUGUUGCCAGUUCAUUACAGAGAUUUAUCGCACUAUAAAGUGUGCUCAGAAAGCCUUAUGGGCUGCUGGCUAAAGCUGCAGGGUGAGCGUGUCGGAGGGCUCCGCGCGACCUCUACUGAAGUCAAAAGAGAGGAAAAAUGUUUGCUGAUCCCCUUGCAUGGACCUCACUGUAUUGCAUGCCUUGUCCUUCCCUGCCACGAGCUGGGAAGGAGGACUUGUGAGAUGCAGAGGAAAACUCCCUGAUGUGUCGCUUCCCAUUUGCAGCCGAAGUUCUCUUUUAUGGUUUAAAGCACUGAGCAUCUUUGGUUUCUCCUGUCACGAGCAUUUUCUGCCCCCUGCCAGCAAACCCGGACCUGGGUGCUGGCCUUCCGCAUCAAGCUGUGACAGGAAGAGGUCUUUGGAAGUGAACAGAUGAAUACUGGAUCGGGGGACCCCGUUAUUAGCCCCUGGAAGUAUCCUUCACCCAGGCCCUGGUGCCCAGCGAAGGAGGCAGAGCUGCAUGUCACUGGGCGGCUCGCGAGGAGAGUGUCAGAGAGAUGCCACCGCUGGGAGCGGAGCCUGGUGCCCAGGCAGAACUCAGUGACAUUUGCACAACUACUUCCCAAGGAAACAAAUUGCACAAAUAUACAAUUCCAGUUUACAGCUAAGAAAAAAAUGACAAAAUAAACAUCUACUCUGCUUGAAGGACUCUUGGAAACCGUAGGUUGAGCACGAUGAUGAGCGUUGGCUUCCUGGUGUCCAAAAUCCUAACACAGAGCUCUGUGGGAGUCGAUUUGGUUAUGGAGGAUGGAGGAAUUGCUAACCCGCGCUCAUCGCGUGUCUCCCUGCAUUUGAAGAUACUGCCUCGGAGUGUUAUAUUAUUUGUUAUUAAUAACAUCCAUCGUAUGCACCCAAACUGCAUCUCAUUUCAUGUGUCCGACUGUUUGGGCAUCGUGUGCCACAGACCAUAUGGGCCUUGUUUGAAAGCCCUCCGAAUCGCAGGGGUCCAUGUGCAACUGAUAAAGGCCAAUUUGGGGUGGAUGGGAGGGGGGGGCACCGCUCUUCAGGCAAAUCCAAGAAGGACGCCCUAUAUGUUUUCUAAGUGCUAAACCCAAGGGAAAUUACUUCAUCAAAACCCGAUCCAGACCACAGUAAUGAAGACUGUGAUGUAGCCAGUGUUCAACCAUGUUGACUUUACAGUACUGGAAUUAAUCCAUCUGCAUUGCAGCUCGGUGAAAUCAUUUCCAGCCCAUAGCGGCUCCGGGGCUGACUUCAUCCUUGCAGCCCCAGAUGCAGAGCCCUCGGAGUCGGGGAAAUUAUGGAGAGGACCAAAAGGCUGUUCUCUGCGCACCGUGAUGGCUGUCUGUCUUCAUGGGGAUGUCAAAUUUGUUUUAGGGAUGAUCCGGACCCCACAGCUCCGCGAGGCUUUUUGGUGGCCAUGCACAGCAUUACGCUCAUCUGCUCCCAUUGCCGUGCUUCCCGCAGGGCUGGAGACAGGGGGAUUUGCUGCUUUGCUCUCCCUCGAUGAGAUUAUUCGAUUUUAACCCCUAUAAAAAUCCCCGGUAAUCUUACUGUGACCGUGGGUUAUUCAGGGUGCAAAUUCAGGCCGAUGCUAUCAGCUGUAUCUCGUGCUUCCUUGGAAAGGUGCUGUGCAAGCACCAUGGCUUUCCCCACUGCAAUAAGUUCCAGCUGCCAUCCUCGCGGCAAUCUUUUUAUCUUUCAAAGAUAGACACUCUGGAUAUUUUUGUGCUAUUUGCACCAGAAAAAUGGAAGCGAUGAGAUGCUCUCACUGUGCGUGCCCUCGUGGGAGCUUAUCCCAGCUCAUGGAGCAUCUCCCUGGGACGUGUGCUCAGAGAAGCUGAGAAAAGCAGAAAUUCCUCCAGGUCUGCACGUGCAGUCCACUGCCCACCCGUUUCACUUCCUUUUCCUUCAUCCUGUACUUUUUUAUUAACAUUUUCUCAGUAAAAAUGCAAUUGCCUGUUUCUUGGUAGUUGCUACACAGCACAAGCACCUUUUGCUUCCCGUGAAAAUAAGGAGUUUCUGCAAACACCACCACAAACCCCCUGAUUUCGGUGAGGCUUCUUCAAUCAAAUAAAACCAAAACCCCAAUGGGGCUGGAUUCUGGCCCCCACGGAAGGCACUUGAAAUCCCCAAGCUCUCCCUGUGCCCUGACUGCUGCAGGGGGUGUGAUGCCCCGGGGACCCCCAGGAGCUUCCACCACUGGGGCUUGUCCAGCAAGAGGGUCCCCAAGUCAGGCAGCUCUUUGCCCAAGCCUGAUGCACUGCUUAUCCCUCUGCAACGUGGGAAAUUAAUGGAAAUUCAUGGAUGCUCAGCUUUUUGAGAAGCUUCCUGAGCUGUUUAAACUCUCUGUGAAAGCAGGAUUGGAAAACGUAUACAAGGGGGAGCGCCUUAGCUAAGGGAGAGGGCUCUGGACACCGCUGCAGGCGGACAGCACGGUGGGUGCCGCGGUACACGGGCAGGCGAUGCCACCUUCACCAGGUUGUCCGCAAGGCUACAGGGUUUAGGAAAAGUGCCAAACGGCUUUUUUCAAGUGGGGCAAGAAAUAUUUCAUCCUCAAACAAAUUACUGCUGGAUCGCUCGUGCUUUGUGUUCUGCAUGCAAGCCAGGUUUCGAUACCUUUGUUCGUGUAGUGCAAAAUCCUGAUUGCACAGAAAUCACUGCCAGAGCUCCCAUUGGUUUCAAAGGUCCUGGAACAUUAGGGAUAAUUCACAUUUGUUGCUGGAGUAAUCUCCUGGAUUUUGGAGGAGAAGCUUCCAGCCGGCACGAGACAAAGAGCAGACAUGGUGGUGAAGAACCUGCUUGGGAGGUCAACCAACCAAGAAACUUCAGCACUGGCUGUCUACCACCCUAAGCUGGGCAUUUCUUCCCAGCCUUAGAAUUUUGGCCAUGAAAAUUAAUUUGGGAUGUUCCUGAGAACAAGGACGGGCUGAACCGUGCCGUCACCUCCAGCUCUGGACACCGCAGGCUGGCCCGGAGGUGCCGCAGCCCCAUGGGGACACAGAGCUAUGCUGUCACGUUGUGCUCGGAUAGAAGAGCAGAGGUUUUUCUAAGUUCAUUAUGGGCAAAAAAAGACAGAGAAUGAAAUUAAAGCUUUGCUGUGGGACUGGACAUUUGAGAAUGUAAGGGAAAACAAUCUCCCAAGCACUGUUAUGAGCUACUACGGGUGUUUUCCGCCAAGAUUUACUUAGUGGUCAGAAGUUUCUGUUUAAAAAAUUGGGGUUUAGGAAAAAGAAAUAUUUGUUAAUCUGUUCACCAGUAAUUAGUUAAUGACUAAUGUGAAGUGGUAGUUACAUUUGCAAAAAUUAAAGUUGAAUAUUGCAGUUUCCAGACCCCACAGAACCCAAAGCGGUGUUAUUUCAGCCCACAGAAGGGUUAUUCAGCCGGCAGUCACAUCCACGCCAGUCGCAGCCUGUGUAUUAGCCUGAGCAUUCAGAAACUGUUUCAUUACAGCUUUAACGUACACCCGUAACGAACCUUCCACCCUUCCCGUGUUGUUAGUGGCAGCUCUUUGUGGCACACUGCAUCGUGCCUAAGGUUUGGGAUUUUCUUCCAAGAAAAUGAUAUUAGUUGCACAUUGGAAUAUUAGAUAUCCGCUUGCAUUUCUUCAGCGUCCCAUUUAACCCUGUUAGAUCUGAGGCAGCACGUUCAUUUAUAUUUCCAACAUGACAGGCAAAGAGGCUGGGAUAUGGAAAUAAAUAGAUUAUUUGUUUGCUACUAACAGUAAGGUUGGGAAAGUGGAAAAAAGUGCGAACUGGACUGUGAGUCCUGGAAUAAAAAGUUAGUAGCGUGUGCAAACGUGGUCAAUCCAUCCUAAAAUACAUUUUUGCAGGAGAGGGAAGAUUUUGGAAGGGAAGAUGUGAGGGCAGAUGGGGUUGGUGUCACCAAGGCCAGGGAGGGGACAGCACAUGGGGACAAGGGACCGGCCCAGGGGUCACUGCUUUGCUGGCUCUGGCUGCAUCUCCGCGAGAGCAGAGGAGUUACACCACCUGAACAGAUCGCUUAGAGUACGUCCCACACUACGUGCAACCAGCAGGAAAAGCGAUGCACCCACACCCAACUGCAGCCUUGGCUACAUGCCGCCUAAUUAAACGCUGGUGAAACAAUCACUGAAGCUGCGUUAUGGGAGUCAGGGCUUGCUUAAUGGUAUACAGCGAUGCAGUGCUGCAUCGCUCUGAUUAGAAACUGGGAUUUUUCCAAAUGCUAAAAAAAAAAUAAAUAAAAUAUAUAUUUUCUUGCUAACAAUUUAUGAAGCAGAGAACAAACAAUCCUUCAGGUUUAUCUGUUAGAACUGACAAUGUCCUAGCACCAAACUUGUAAUCGCAGCUUUGUAGAAAUCUAUGACAUAGCAGAUGGAGAUAUAAAAGGGAAAAGUAUUAGAUGUGUAAUUGAGUACAGGCGAUAUUAAAAUAUUACCCCUAAGCCACAGGUCAGGUUGGGUUUGCUUUAUUUUGGUUGUUUUAUUUUUUAUUUUGUUUUGACAAAUGCAAAGUAAAUCUUGGCAAAAUCAAGCAUGGCUUGAACACUAUUAAAUCUCCUAAAGUCUGCCCCUAAAGUGGUCAGGAAAGUCUGUGUUUGGAAUUUACCUGUGUGCUUUAAUGGAUUAACGGACAGUAUGAAAAGAUCAUUUUCAAGUUAAGCAAACAUUUCUGGCAUAUUGUAUAACACUUGCUUUAAAAUUAAGUUAGUUAUUCUGAACUUUAUGCCAAAUGAUUAUUUGCUCGAUUUUCUGAUGAUGGUAAUACGUGACAUACCAUCACAUAAUUUGGUAAAGACAAUAAAAUUACAAAGCCCAAGAAGGGUCUGAGUCAGGCUUUGACAGAUUAAAGCUCUCCAAGUCCCCUGAAAACCCUUUUCUGACAUAUUAAUUUGACCUAAACCCUCAAAAUGUUCCUGAUUAUGUCAUCUCAAUUGGGCUUUAUUUUUGUUUUAUUUUUCAUUGUAGGAAAUUAAAAAGGGUUGGUUGAUCCCUGGCCAAGUUCUUGAAAUGUGUUGCAAUGCUAAGGAAAUAAAAGAUUACUCGAAAUACUUUUUAAUAAUAUGUCAUGUCAGCAGAGAUAAAGGUUCACACUUAAUGCCCUCAGCUGGCUUCUAUCAGUGCUGGGGAGCGCAGCAUCAGCCCCGGCCGGGCUCCGGCAAGGACCCACCAUUCACCUUGCUUUUAAACCAUGAGCUUAUGCUGUUAUAAUUAUAAACAUGUUUAUAAAAUUUGUUUCAUUUCUCUUUGUAAGAAGAAAUAAAGAUCUGCGUAGGUGGGGCUGAUCCUGCCCGGGAGCGAGGGCAGAGCAAGACGACCUCCCAGAGCCUCUUCCCCUGCCCCGUCCUCCAUCCCUUUCUGGCGCUGAUGGCUGGGGACAGCGGUGGGGUCACAGCCCCCAGGCAGGCCAGGCACCCAUCCUGCCGAGCCAUGAGCCAUCGGGCGGGGGCACCUGGACGGGCCUUACCCCAGGAAAACCCACUUCAGCAGAGCCUGGGGCUUUGCAGGGCCACUGUGAUGGGCAUCACCGGGGAGCUGCGGUAACGCGGGGCCAAAACCACCACGUCGCCCCACUGUGACACGGCAGAGCUGCUCGUCAGAUCUGGAGGCACUUGGCGAAGGAAGAGAAGUACUGUCCACCUUGAUAAAAGUGAAAUCUAAAGCUCGUCAGCGCCAGGCUCUCUGAGGCUGCGCUGGGAGAUGCCCACACUCGGCAGGGCCGGGGCUCGCUGUCCCGUGUAACCCCAGCAGGCUCAGCUGGGCAGCAGCCUGGGGAAGCGCACUGCCGGCCCUGCCGCACGCCAGCUGUACAGCUCCCGGGCGGCCCACCGGCCAUUCUGAGAGGCGCUGUGAGUUCUGCACCGAAGCUGGAUCCUCCAGAGCCCGGUUUGCAGGCAGGGAUGCAAAUCUUCCACCCCUGAGCCAGGCUGUGGGCAUGGUCCGAACCAGGACCAUGCACAGGGGCAGAGCCCGCAGUGGGAGGAGUGGGCAGCGGCCACCUGGGUGCCCCAGGCUGGACCGACAUUUGGCACCUACAUCAGCUGGACGUUUGGCACCUACAUCUGCACCCAUUCACUUCCUCCGAGACCUUUCCCUUAGACAAGUUCCUGUCCCAGUGAGCUAUGCCAGGAGUCUGGGGUAUAAAUGUGCAUUAAAAAAAAAAAAAAAGCAUAAAUGUUUAGAAAUGCGUAUAAAUGUGUAUAAAUGUACAAAUGUGUAUCAACGUGCAAAGCCCACCCUAAGCUGAGCAAGGAGCAUCCUUGGAAUGAGGAUUUGAGGACAACAGUAUGAGUCUGGGGCCUGCAAAACACCCACUCGCCAAGCGCUGUGCCGGGGAGCGGCUGGCUGAUGUUUGGUUGCGGUUGUCUCUGCUCAGAUGCCGUUUUCAUGCUGCUGCCGGCCCAAGCUUUGGAAGAAAUGUGUGCGCCAGGACACAGACCCUGACAAAUACAGCAAGAAAUCCUGAGAAGUGGAACAUUUGAAUAAACCAGUGAUCCCCUGAGACUCCGGGAGUGCCUGGAAAGGGGGCACUGGGUGCUGCACCCCAUCCCCUUCCCUCCCCAAAGCCGCAGCACCCUGCAGCAGCUCCCACUCCCCCCAAACCUGCUUUCUCAGCAGGCUUGUGAAUUUUAUCCCUUUGCACAUUU
Long non-coding RNA from Falco peregrinus (peregrine falcon), 27726 nucleotides. RefSeq lists it as uncharacterized. Lineage: Eukaryota; Metazoa; Chordata; Aves; Falconiformes; Falconidae. The record is from RefSeq and is a predicted model, not a curated record. The transcript has 3 exons.